AUGGUUGACGAGCCCCUCGACCCGCCGCCGCCGACGCCGGCGGCGGCGGCGCCUCCCACGCCGCUCCUCCGCCCGCGGCGCGAGGCGUUCGAGCACGGCCUCCUGCCCAUCCCCAAGCUCAUCUUCCCGGAGGGCACGCUGGCGCAGACCCUCUCCCAGCUCAAGGAGAAGCUCGCGCCCGCGGCCGCCGCCGCGGGAGACGGGCGCGUGGGCGCCGCGUCCCUCGCGGAGGCGCUGCAGAUCCCGCCCGACCAGGCGGCGCUCGCGAUCGGCAUGCUCGCGGCGGUCCUCCCCGCGGAGGACCCCGCGCUAGACGCCGGCGGGAGUGGUGGAGGCGCCGACCUCCGCGACGUUCUGCUCUUCCUCUACAUCCAGUCGUACAAGCGCCUCGUGCCGCGCCCGCACAAGGACUCGCCCGCCGUCGCCGACGUCUGGCCAUCCACCUCAGCGUUCGACGGCUACCUGUCCGCUCUCUCUCCGAUCCAGCUUGUACGGAGUAAUAGCCGUCGCUUUAUACCUUCUCAAGCAGAUGAAGAAAUUCACCAGUUAUCUUAUCUGCAAAAGCAUAUGGCUAAUAUUCUCACUCUAUUGGCUGAUUCUGUUGAGGGGGAGGGGGAUGAUUCUCUGGUACUAACAAUGGAGACUUUUGAGCACCUUGGAUUUCUAGUGCAUUUUUCGGAAGGAACAUCCCUAAGCCAGGCAGCCACAUUUUUUGCGAAUUCUGAUCCAGACAUGCCGGCUGCUCCAGUAUCUGCUGCUCAGGUCCAUGAUUGGAUUUUGCAGAAUAUUGUUUCUUCAUUGGAGUUUUAUACUGAGAAAUCUACAGCAAAGGAAGGGAGCCAGCAGAUAGCGUCUGAUCUUGAUGUUACCAUGGCAGAUGCCAAUACAAGUCAUCCAAGGAACAGCACAACUACUGUUGCCAAUCCCACAUUCCAUAGAAAUUCUACAUUUGUGGAGGGUUUCUCCAAAACUUCUGUUGUCAAGCAUGCAUCUGAUGUCAAAGGAAAUUCAGUGAAGGUUUUGAACUGCCAUGAUUCCGUUAUUUAUAUAUUAGCACCGGUGAAGUAUGCUACUGUGUAUGGAUGUUCUGAUACUACCGUUGUUCUUGGUGCUGUCGGCAAGGUUAUAAAGGUGGAGCAUUGUGAAAGAGUGCAUAUUAUUGCAGCUGCAAAACGAAUCUGUAUUGCUAACUGUCGUGAGUGCAUCUUCUACUUGGGAGUAAAUCACCAGCCUCUUAUUGUGGGGGACAACCAUAAAUUACAUAUUGCUCCAUUUAAUACUUACUAUCCAAGAUUGGGUGAGCAUCUGACACAAGUUGGUGUAGAUCCCUCUACCAAUAAAUGGGACCAACCUUUUGUAUUGGGAGUCGUUGAUCCACAUGAUUCAUUGUCCCAUCCUGCUGGGGUUUCUGAUGUUCAAGCCGAAUCUGCUACUUGUGUAGAUCCUGAUCUAUUCACAAACUUUUUGAUUCCUAAUUGGUUUGAGGAUGAAGUACAAGAGCCUACAAAAUGCAAUCCUUUUCCAUUGCCUGAAAUUUAUCAGGCAUCGCAAAGCAAGAAGCAAGCUGUUCUGGAAGAUACUAAAAAAACUAUUCGGGAGCUGCAACUUGACGAAAAUAGGAAAAAGGAAUUAGCAAGCGCCCUGCACUCGCAGUUCAAAGAUUGGCUAUAUGCUACGGGCAACAUCCGCCAGCUCUACUGUCUGCAAGGCGACUAA
Molecule: ribosomal RNA, 1716 nt
Filed under: Triticum aestivum (bread wheat)
Lineage: Eukaryota; Viridiplantae; Streptophyta; Magnoliopsida; Poales; Poaceae
Description: partial small subunit ribosomal RNA
Source: RNAcentral